This 253-nucleotide ribosomal RNA is filed under the name uncultured bacterium. Its description in RNAcentral is "partial 16S ribosomal RNA". It matches the Rfam family "Bacterial small subunit ribosomal RNA", at positions 524 to 776 of the family's 1533-position model. The record is from RNAcentral.
UACGUAGGCAGCAAGCGUUGUUCGGAAUUACUGGGCGUAAAGAGUGUGUAGGCGGUGCUCUAAGUUCGGUGUGAAAUCUCCCGGCUCAACUGGGAGGGUGCGCCGGAAACUGGGGUGCUGGAGUGCGGGAGAGGAAAGCGGAAUUCCUGGUGUAGCGGUGAAAUGCGUAGAUAUCAGGAGGAACACCGGCGGUGUAGACGGCGUUCUGGACCGUAGCUGACGCUGAGACACGAAAGCGUGGGUAGCAAACAGG